This 297-nucleotide long non-coding RNA is filed under the name Linum usitatissimum (flax). Its description in RNAcentral is "long non-coding RNA (LUSI_LNC000928)". Lineage: Eukaryota; Viridiplantae; Streptophyta; Magnoliopsida; Malpighiales; Linaceae. The record is from RNAcentral.
CAUUGGUGCUUAUUGCCAUUUGAGAAGUCGUCUCACUGGAUGUACAAGUAGACAAAGAAUGCCAUCUAGUGGCUACGGACACUAUACCUUGAGCUCGAUGCGAUACCUUGGUAGCAGCAUGUAGGCAUAUCACUAGUCCAACAAGCUCAACUAUAGCAGUAACCUUAUAUCAGAAGUACCAAAAUCACAUGACACACAAUACGAUUUAGAAUGGAGCUUACUGAAAUAUCAUCAUUAUAUAUAAGCUUGAACAAUAUGGCGAUAGUACUGACCCCAAAAUCAGCUCCAUUGAUGAGA